Molecule: ribosomal RNA, 253 nt
Filed under: uncultured bacterium
Lineage: Bacteria
Description: partial 16S ribosomal RNA
Rfam family: Bacterial small subunit ribosomal RNA
Source: RNAcentral
UACGAGGGGGGCGAGCGUUGUUCGGAAUUACUGGGCGUAAAGCGCGUGUAGGCGGCAAUGCAAGUCGGGCGUGAAAUCCCACGGCUCAACCGUGGAAGUGCACUCGAAACUGCAUAGCUAGAGUCCUGGAGAGGAAGGUGGAAUGCUUGGUGUAGAGGUGAAAUUCGUAGAUAUCAAGCGGAACACCGGUGGCGAAGGCGGCCUUCUGGACAGUGACUGACGCUGAGAUGCGAAAGCGUGGGGAGCAAACAGG